This 878-nucleotide ribosomal RNA is filed under the name uncultured bacterium. RNAcentral describes it as "bacterial SSU rRNA". It matches the Rfam family "Bacterial small subunit ribosomal RNA", at positions 8 to 901 of the family's 1533-position model. The record is from RNAcentral.
AGAGUUUGAUCAUGGCUCAGGACGAACGCUGGCGGCGUGCUUAACACAUGCAAGUCGAACGGAAAGGCCCUUCGGGGUACUCGCGGGGCGAACGGGUGAGUAACACGUGGGUGAUCUGCCCUGCACUUCGGGAUAAGCCUGGGAAACUGGGUCUAAUACCGGAUAUGACUACAUGUCGCAUGGUGUGUGGUGGAAAGAUUUUUUGGUGGGGGAUGGGCCCGCGGCCUAUCAGCUUGUUGGUGGGGUGAUGGCCUACCAAGGCGACGACGGGUAGCCGGCCUGAGAGGGCGACCGGCCACACUGGGACUGAGACACGGCCCAGACUCCUACGGGAGGCAGCAGUGGGGAAUAUUGCGCAAUGGGCGGAAGCCUCACGCAGCGACGCCGCGUGGGGGAUGACGGCCUUCGGGUUGUAAACCUCUUUCGGCCCCGACGAAGCGUGAGUGACGGUAGGGGUAGAAGAAGCACCGGCCAACUACGUGCCAGCAGCCGCGGUAAUACGUAGGGUGCGAGCGUUGUCCGGAAUUAUUGGGCGUAAAGAGCUCGUAGGCGGUCUGUCGCGUCGAUCGUGAAAACUUGGGGCUUAACCCUGAGCUUGCGGUCGAUACGGGCAUCACUGGAGUUCGGCAGGGGAGACUGGAAUUCCUGGUGUAGCGGUGAAAUGCGCAGAUAUCACGAGGAACACCGGUGGCGAAGGCGGGUCUCUGGGCCGAUACUGACGCUGAGGAGCGAAAGCGUGGGGAGCGAACAGGAUUAGAUACCCUGGUAGUCCACGCCGUAACGGUGGGCGCUAGGUGUGGGGGCCAUUCCACGGUCUCUGUGCCGUAGCUAACGCAUUAAGCGCCCCGCCUGGGGAGUACGGCCGCAAGGCUAAAACU